Molecule: non-coding RNA, 81 nt
Organism: Podarcis lilfordi (Lilford's wall lizard)
Lineage: Eukaryota; Metazoa; Chordata; Lepidosauria; Squamata; Lacertidae
Source: the annotation of a GenBank genome assembly
GCCUUCAACUAGAUAGUUCAGUUUGGUUAGAGUGUGGUGUUGAUAACACCAAGAUUGCAGGUUCGAUCCCCACAUAGGACA